This 253-nucleotide ribosomal RNA is filed under the name uncultured bacterium. Its description in RNAcentral is "partial 16S ribosomal RNA". It matches the Rfam family "Bacterial small subunit ribosomal RNA", at positions 524 to 776 of the family's 1533-position model. The record is from RNAcentral.
UACAGAGGUCCCAAGCGUUGUUCGGAUUCACUGGGCGUAAAGGGUGCGUAGGCGGUCGGGUAAGUCUGAUGUGAAAUCUCACAGCUUAACUGUGAAACUGCAUUGGAUACUAUCCGGCUAGAGGAAUGGAGGGGAGACUGGAAUACUUGGUGUAGCAGUGAAAUGCGUAGAUAUCAAGUGGAACACCAGUGGCGAAGGCGAGUCUCUGGACAUUUCCUGACGCUGAGGCACGAAAGCCAGGGGGGCAAACGGG